RNAcentral lists this unclassified non-coding RNA (428 nucleotides) under uncultured Agaricomycetes. RNAcentral's name for it is "sequence contains ITS2". The stretch from base 1 to 155 matches the Rfam family "5.8S ribosomal RNA". Lineage: Eukaryota; Fungi; Basidiomycota; Agaricomycetes. The record is from RNAcentral.
AACUUUUGGCAACGGAUCUCUUGGCUCUCGCAUCGAUGAAGAACGCAGCGAAAUGCGAUAAGUAAUGUGAAUUGCAGAUUUUCUGUGAAUCAUCGAAUCUUUGAACGCACCUUGCGCUCUCUGGUAUUCCAGAGAGCAUGCCUGUUUUAGUGUCGUUGAAUCAUCAACUCGACCGGCUUUGCCCCUUCGAGUUUGGAAUUGGAGCGUGCCGGCCCUUUGAAGGGGUUGGCUCCUCACGAAACGAUUAGCGAUGCCUGCUAGGCGGAUAGCCUUUUUGGUUUGAUAGAGGUCUACCACGGUGCCGUGAAGCCUCGCGGUCGCUUACUGUGUUCCCUCAUUCCGACUUGGACAUUCUUUACUGAUUAUGUCUUGAUUUCUAAUCGAUUCGAACGACAAGCGGUCCUUUGUUAUAUGAUUAAUCGAGGGCU